UACGUAGGGUGCAAGCGUUGUCCGGAAUUAUUGGGCGUAAAGAGCUCGUAGGCGGCCUGUUGCGUCCGCUGUGAAAUCCCGGGGCUCAACCCCGGGCCUGCAGUGGAUACGGGCUGGCUAGAGGCAGGCAGGGGAGAACGGAAUUCCUGGUGUAGCGGUGAAAUGCGCAGAUAUCGGAAGGAACAUCAGUGGCGAAAGCGACUUCCUGGACCAAUACUGACGCUCAUGUGCGAAAGCGUGGGGAGCAAACAGG
This 253-nucleotide ribosomal RNA is filed under the name uncultured bacterium. Its description in RNAcentral is "partial 16S ribosomal RNA". It matches the Rfam family "Bacterial small subunit ribosomal RNA", at positions 524 to 776 of the family's 1533-position model. The record is from RNAcentral.